AAAGAAAAAGCCAGAUUCUUGCUCAAGCUUGUGAACUGUUUCUUUGAACUUCUCCUCAUCUAGAAACUGUAAGAUCAAGAAUACAAGCUCUCUACUGAGAGAUGACAUUGCUACUACCUCGUCUCCAAGCCCAGAACUAUUAUGUAAAAACAGUGUUUGUGCAGAUGCUUUGUUUACAGAGCAGAUAGAUCCAUGGAAGAAGAUGGGAGGAGAAAAACGAAAACCCACAGAGAUAAUGCAAA
RNAcentral lists this unclassified non-coding RNA (242 nucleotides) under Hevea brasiliensis (rubber tree). The record is from RNAcentral. Lineage: Eukaryota; Viridiplantae; Streptophyta; Magnoliopsida; Malpighiales; Euphorbiaceae.